This 229-nucleotide ribosomal RNA is filed under the name uncultured bacterium. RNAcentral describes it as "partial 16S ribosomal RNA". It matches the Rfam family "Bacterial small subunit ribosomal RNA", at positions 568 to 796 of the family's 1533-position model. The record is from RNAcentral.
UACGUAGGCGGAAAAUUAAGUCAGUAGUGAAAUCCUGCAGCUUAACUGUAGAACUGUUAUUGAUACUGGUUUUCUUGAAUAUAGUUGAGGUAGGCGGAAUGUGUAAUGUAGCGGUGAAAUGCUUAGAUAUUACACAGAACACCGAUUGCGAAGGCAGCUUACUAAGCUAUUAUUGACGCUGAGGCACGAAAGCGUGGGGAGCGAACAGGAUUAGAUACCCUGGUAGUCC